GCGGGCGUAAUUCAGUGGUAGAAUACCAGCUUCCCAAGCUGGGUAUGAGGGUUCGAUUCCCUUCGCCCGCUCCA
This 74-nucleotide transfer RNA is filed under the name Candidatus Brocadia fulgida. RNAcentral's name for it is "tRNA-Gly". It matches the Rfam family "tRNA". Rfam says of the family: Transfer RNA (tRNA) molecules are approximately 80 nucleotides in length. The record is from RNAcentral. Lineage: Bacteria; Pseudomonadati; Planctomycetota; Candidatus Brocadiia; Candidatus Brocadiales; Candidatus Brocadiaceae. RNAcentral also lists the same sequence under 20 other names.